RNAcentral lists this unclassified non-coding RNA (376 nucleotides) under uncultured bacterium. RNAcentral's name for it is "contains 16S-23S intergenic spacer region". The record is from RNAcentral.
UCCGGUUUGACACCGGCAGUCUCCCUAGAGUGCCCGGCAUAACCCGCUGGUAACUAGGGACGAGGGUUGCGCUCGUUGCGGGACUUAACCCAACAUCUCACGACACGAGCUGACGACAGCCAUGCACCACCUGUGCACCGGCCCCGAAAGGCUGCCGUAUUUCUACGGCAUUCCAGUGCAUGUCAAGCCUUGGUAAGGUUCUUCGCGUUGCGUCGAAUUGAACCACAUGCUCCGCUGCUUGUGCGGGUCCCCGUCAAUUCCUUUGAGUUUAAGCCUUGCGGCCGUACUCCCCAGGCGGUCAACUUCACGCGUUAGCUUCGUUACCAAGGAAUUACUUCCCCGACAACCAGUUGACAUCGUUUAGGGCGUGGACUAC